Molecule: ribosomal RNA, 372 nt
Filed under: uncultured bacterium
Lineage: Bacteria
Description: bacterial SSU rRNA
Rfam family: Bacterial small subunit ribosomal RNA
Source: RNAcentral
AACGAACGCUGGCGGCAGGCCUAACACAUGCAGGUCGAGCGCCCCGCAAGGGGAGCGGCGGACGGGUGAGUAACGCGUGGGAACGUGCCUCUUGCUACGGAAUAGCCUCGGGAAACUGGGAGUAAUACCGUAUGUGCCUUACGGGGGAAAGAUUUAUCGGCAAGAGAUCGGCCCGCGUUGGAUUAGGUAGUUGGUGGGGUAAUGGCCUACCAAGCCGACGAUCCAUAGCUGGUUUGAGAGGAUGAUCAGCCACACUGGGACUGAGACACGGCCCAGACUCCUACGGGAGGCAGCAGUGGGAAUCUUAGACAAUGGCGCAAGCCUGAUCUAGCCAUGCCGCGUGAGCGAUGAAGGCCUUAGGGUUGUAAAGCU